RNAcentral lists this ribosomal RNA (465 nucleotides) under uncultured bacterium. RNAcentral describes it as "partial 16S ribosomal RNA". It matches the Rfam family "Bacterial small subunit ribosomal RNA", at positions 28 to 507 of the family's 1533-position model. The record is from RNAcentral.
GACGAACGCUGGCGGCGUGCUUAACACAUGCAAGUCGAACGGUAAGGCUCCAGCUUGCUGGGGUACACGAGUGGCGAACGGGUGAGUAACACGUGGGUGACCUGCCCUGCACUUCGGGAUAAGCCUGGGAAACUGGGUCUAAUACCGGAUAGGACCGCACCGUGAGGGUGUGGUGGAAAGUUUUUUCGGUGUGGGAUGGGCCCGCGGCCUAUCAGCUUGUUGGUGGGGUAAUGGCUUACCAAGGCGGCGACGGGUAGCCGGCCUGAGAGGGUGGACGGCCACAUUGGGACUGAGACACGGCCCAGACUCCUACGGGAGGCAGCAGUGGGGAAUAUUGCACAAUGGGCGGAAGCCUGAUGCAGCGACGCCGCGUGGGGGAUGACGGCCUUCGGGUUGUAAACUCCUUUCACCAUCGACGAAGGGUUUCUGACGGUAGAUGGAGAAGAAGCACCGGCUAACUACGUA